UAGGACCCUUAUAAAAGAGGCCUGAGAGGACGCCGCUUUUUAAGCCCUCCCGAUGUGUGAGGACACACAGGAGCCACCACCCAGAGGAACAGGCCUUUAGCGGACACUGAAUCUGCUGGUGCCUUCAUCUUGGAAUUUCCAGACUCCAGAACUCUGCAGUUACCAUCCUCAAAUACAAAAGUAAUUGAUACUCAGCAAUGAAAGCUGCAUGUGCAUGUAGGGGAGAGAAGGAGGUUUCACCAGACUGACAAAUGGAGUCAUGGUUCUGGGAAGGAGCAGGGUGUUGGGUGCACAUUUGUCACCUGGGAAUACUACCAGCAAGCCUCAUAUUUUUUCUGCAAUAAAUGCUGGAAAGGAAAAAGAAAUGCUGAAAAUGAUGAAGUAAUUCCAAUUCUGCUGAUAGAGACCUGGAAAUGCACUAGGGAAAAAUGACAAGAGUGUAACACACUGCUGCUGAUUAUGUCAUAAUGAUUAUUUUAUGCAGUUUGAAGAAGACUCACUGUUCUAAAGAACCAGCAUCCAUUUCCAGGAAAGAGCAGGGAUUCUCCAUCCAUACCUCCAUGGGAUGAACCACAUUGAAAAUAAUGAUUUCCUUCUAAUAGCUUACUCUACAUUAUAUAAAGAAUUCCUUGGGAUUCUAAAAAAACCCUAAUAAUAUAGUAAUAAUAACAACAGAGGUUUGUUUUUGCUAUUUGUAGUCUAAUAUUCAGAUUGUGAGCAGCUGUUUUGGAAGGCAAGAUGAGUGAAUAGAUGUGAAGUCGUCUUAGAAAUGUCCAGGCUUCCAAAAGAAAUUUCACUUUUAAAAGAAAAUAGCCUAAUGUGAACCACAUUAGAAUCAGCACAUCUAAUCCUACGGAGAAAAAGUGACCAUGGCUGUCUACACAUAUAGGCAGGUCAUUCAAGCUCAUUCAAAAAUUCCACUUUCACUGGUGGUCUGUCUGUGUCCACAUGGUGACAAAUGGCCCCGGCAGGGUUUUUGAGGUGUUGGCACCACCAGUGAGUGCCAGAUGGAAUGUGGUGAAAGUUCUGAUUUGUACCUUUCAGACUAAAGGUACUUUCCAGAAUGGACGGGUCCUUCUGGCUGCCUUUUGUAAGUGCAGCCACAGGUAUUCUGUUGAAGCCUGUGGGUGAGAAAGACAUAAACAGGUGCUAUAAAUUUGUCAGACCAGGAAGCCACAGGCCGUUUAGUAAAUGGUAAACCCAAUGGCCCAAAAGAACAAAGGGGUCUCUUUUCAUCAGAAUGAUCAGGCUCAUUCAACAAAUAUUUAUUGAGCACCCACUUUCUGCCAGAUGGAAGAGCCACUGACAAGGCCUCUUAUUUAAAGAGUGCCUGAAGUGAGGAAGCAAACCCCCAAAUCAUCUGGGAUGGUAUGAACUGAACUCUGGACCGCAACAUGAUGGAAAGGAGGAGCUGGGGUCCCAAGGGCAGUCCAGACAACCUGAACCUGUGACACUCACCCUGCCCACACACUCUCAGAGCUGCAGCUUUCACGGGGGUGACAUGAAUGCUUGUAAAUGAGCUUGCUGAAUGGGAGACCAAGAACGAUGAUAUUGAGCUGUUACUACAUGCCAGACAUUUAACCCUUUCAUCCAGGUUAUCUCAAUCAUUCCUUACAGAAAGGCUUUUGAGAUGUCCUUGCAACUGGAGGUGCCAUAUGAUACAGUUCUGCCCAAAGACAAGAAAGUGAAUGUCUGUUGAGGGCUUCCUAUAAGGCCAAUACAUACAGGUGUUCCCAACAACAGCAGGAGCAAAGCAAACCUCAAACCUCAAAAUUGAAUACCACUUUGAGCCACAAGAAGCUGGACUUUUCUAACUCUGAUUCGAAAUUUAAUGUUCUGUUGAUGGCAGACAUCUAAAUUGUUGUCUGAUUCCUUUAACCAGCCACCUCACCUACCAACCAGAAAGCUUCAUUUUCUAAUGAAGCUUUUCUUAGGGAUCCAUCAACUAUGUUAAAUCAACAUUCAGUGAUUUAUAAAUGAAUGAAACACAUACAGAUUAGCUGUUCUUCUGAAAACACACUGGAGGUACAACACUGGCAAAAAUAUUCUUGAUUUAGUGUUGUUAAGGGCACUAGAAACACAGAUUGUCAUAUCUAAAGAUGGGACAUUUCUAGAUGCACUGCCAUAUAACUGGCACAAUUGUGUUAAAUGCCAUUAGUCCCCCUUGUUCUUUUGAUGGAAUGUGGAAAUGAUACUAGUUUCUGUGUAUUUUCAUCACAUUUCCAAAGACGAGCAUUUGACCAUCUUCUUUUGUAGUAACCAGAGAGAGGAAGAAGGAAAAAAAGUAAGAAUAUGAGUUUAGAAGUUAUGAAACUCAGCAUCCGUAUACUUUAGAAUUUUUUUAAAUUUUGUAUGAAAACAUACUAAUAUGGUUUGGCUGUGUCCCCAUCCAAAUCUCAUCCUGAAUUGUAGCUUCCAUAAUUACCAAGUGUCAUGGAAGGGACCUGGUGGGAGGUAACUGAAUCAUGGGGGUGGGUUUUUCCCAUGCUGUUCUCAUGAUAGUGAAUAAGUUUCCCACGAUCUGAUGGUUUUACAAAGGGGAGAGCCCCUGCACAUGCUCUCUUGCCAGCUGAAAUGUAAGAUGUGACUUUGCUUCUCCUUUACUUUCC
This 2609-nucleotide long non-coding RNA is filed under the name Homo sapiens (human). Its description in RNAcentral is "HSALNT0033232". Lineage: Eukaryota; Metazoa; Chordata; Mammalia; Primates; Hominidae. The record is from RNAcentral.